Paramuricea clavata is the source of this 84-nucleotide non-coding RNA. The record is from the annotation of a GenBank genome assembly. NCBI's taxonomy places the organism in Eukaryota, Metazoa, Cnidaria, Anthozoa, Malacalcyonacea, Plexauridae.
GACCGCGUAGCUCAGUUGGCAGAGCAUUGGGCUAGUAUCCCAAAGGUCGCCCAAAGGUUGUAGGUUCGAUUCCCACCGAGGUCA